Long non-coding RNA from Magallana angulata, 512 nucleotides. RefSeq lists it as uncharacterized. The record is from RefSeq and is a predicted model, not a curated record. NCBI's taxonomy places the organism in Eukaryota, Metazoa, Mollusca, Bivalvia, Ostreida, Ostreidae. The transcript is spliced from 3 exons.
AUAUGAAUAUUAUGAAUAUCAUAUUAUUUAAGUACAUAGAUUAAGUAUAUAGAUUUUAAGAUAAAACCAACCAAAUCUGACACACAUUUUAAAUACACACCACACACACUUAGAUCCACCCUGUACCUUUACACACCUGUAUAUAUACCCCAGGGGCAGUGAUUUGGUAAACAUUUGUGUGCAUGAGUUUUAUUGGUCAGAUAUUUGUUAGGGUUGUUGUGGUUGGUUUGUUGAUCUGAGUAUGAUAUUUUUGCCGCCAAGUUUUGUCAAUCUUUGUUUGGUCAGCCAGAGGGUAGCAGUUAUAUAGAAUAAGACCUACUGUACAUCAUAAAGUUUGACAACUGACUAUUUCUCUUUCUGAUAUAUAAACCAUUAUACACUCAUCAUUACAUGAAUAGAGGAAGCUUAUUCCCAUAGAAUGGGCUCUCUAUCAUUUAAUUUCACUGUCACUGUGUCCACAAUAAAUUAAUAUUCGAACCCUCAACAGGCGUUAUUUAUUAUAAGUAAAACCU